RNAcentral lists this unclassified non-coding RNA (251 nucleotides) under Hevea brasiliensis (rubber tree). The record is from RNAcentral. Lineage: Eukaryota; Viridiplantae; Streptophyta; Magnoliopsida; Malpighiales; Euphorbiaceae.
UGUUAGAAAUUUCUUGUUAAGCAUCCCCCUCAAAUGUAAGUGCUAGAUCCCAGGUUUUAUGCCGAAAAGUCACAAAUCCAGGAGUGACUAGGUGGGUGGCGUCAGUGAAUAAAAAAGAUUGAAAGGAAGAUGGCUGGGGUUGGGAUGCAUUAUGGGUUGGGUUUUGCAGAUAUGUCUUAUACUUAGAAUUACAUUAUAUCCUAAACAAACAGUAAUAUUUUAGAAAAAGAAAAUGAUGUGGGACCUUGCUG